This 433-nucleotide ribosomal RNA is filed under the name uncultured bacterium. RNAcentral's name for it is "partial 16S ribosomal RNA". It matches the Rfam family "Bacterial small subunit ribosomal RNA", at positions 29 to 507 of the family's 1533-position model. The record is from RNAcentral.
AACGAACGCUGGCGGCAGGCCUAACACAUGCAAGUCGAGCGAGGACUUCGGUCCUAGCGGCGGACGGGUGAGUAACGCGUGGGAACGUGCCCUUUGCUUCGGAAUAGCCCUGGGAAACUGGGAGUAAUACCGGAUGAGCCCUUUGGGGGAAAGAUUUAUCGGCGAAGGAUCGGCCCGCGUUGGAUUAGGUAGUUGGUGGGGUAAUGGCCUACCAAGCCGACGAUCCAUAGCUGGUUUGAGAGGAUGAUCAGCCACACUGGGACUGAGACACGGCCCAGACGCGUAAGGGAGGCAGGGGGGGGGAAUGUAGGAGAAGGGGGCAAUGGGGUAUCGAGCCAUGCCGGGUGAGAGAGGAAGGAAGUGUAGUAGUAAAGCGCGCUCAGCUGAGAACAUAGUGACGGGACGGGCUGAAGAAGCGAAGGAUAACUAAGUG